GACGAACGCUGGCGGCGUGCCUAAUACAUGCAAGUCGAACGCUGAAGGAGGAGCUUGCUUCUCUGGAUGAGUUGCGAACGGGUGAGUAACGCGUAGGUAACCUGCCUGGUAGCGGGGGAUAACUAUUGGAAACGAUAGCUAAUACCGCAUAAGAGUAGAUGUUGCAUGACAUUUGCUUAAAAGGUGCAAUUGCAUCACUACCAGAUGGACCUGCGUUGUAUUAGCUAGUUGGUGGGGUAACGGCUCACCAAGGCGACGAUACAUAGCCGACCUGAGAGGGGGAUCGGCCAAACUGGGACUGAGACACGGCCCAGACUCCUACGGGAGGCAGCAGUAGGGAAGCGUCGGCAAUGGACGGAAGUCUGACCGAGCAACGCCGCGGGAGGGAAGAAGGGUUUCGGAUCGUAAAGCUCUGUUGUAAGAGAAGAAAGAGUGUGAGAGUGGAAAGUUCACACUGUGACGGUAUCUGACCAGAAAGGGACGGCUAACUACGUG
RNAcentral lists this ribosomal RNA (495 nucleotides) under uncultured bacterium. RNAcentral describes it as "partial 16S ribosomal RNA". It matches the Rfam family "Bacterial small subunit ribosomal RNA", at positions 28 to 507 of the family's 1533-position model. The record is from RNAcentral.